This 253-nucleotide ribosomal RNA is filed under the name uncultured bacterium. RNAcentral describes it as "partial 16S ribosomal RNA". It matches the Rfam family "Bacterial small subunit ribosomal RNA", at positions 524 to 776 of the family's 1533-position model. The record is from RNAcentral.
UACAGAGGGUGCGAGCGUUGUUCGGAAUUAUUGGGCGUAAAGGGCGCGUAGGCGGUGCGGUAAGUCACCUGUGAAAUCUCCUGGCUCAACUGGGAGCUUGCAGGCGAAACUGCCGUGCUGGAGUGUGGGAGAGGUGCGUGGAAUUCCUGGUGUAGCGGUGAAAUGCGUAGAUAUCAGGAGGAACACCUGUGGUGUAGACGGCUUUCUGGACCAUAGCUGACGCUGAGACACGAAAGCGUGGGUAGCAAACAGG